Molecule: signal recognition particle RNA, 96 nt
Filed under: Gemmatimonadota bacterium
Lineage: Bacteria; Pseudomonadati; Gemmatimonadota
Description: Gemmatimonadetes bacterium (activated sludge metagenome) signal recognition particle sRNA small type
Rfam family: Bacterial small signal recognition particle RNA
About the family: The signal recognition particle (SRP) is a universally conserved ribonucleoprotein involved in the co-translational targeting of proteins to membranes. Archaeal SRP consists of a 7S RNA and homologues of the eukaryotic SRP19 and SRP54 proteins. In most bacteria, the SRP consists of a 4.5S RNA and the Ffh protein (a homologue of the eukaryotic SRP54 protein).
Source: RNAcentral
CCCCAGGUCCCCAGGGCGGGAGCUCUCGGAAUCCCGUCAGGACCGGCAGGUAGCAGCGGUACGUGUGGUGACCGUCGCUGGGAUCGCCUGGGGCAC